This is a long non-coding RNA of Ruditapes philippinarum (Manila clam), 2291 nucleotides long. RefSeq lists it as uncharacterized. The transcript has 2 exons. The record is from RefSeq and is a predicted model, not a curated record. Lineage: Eukaryota; Metazoa; Mollusca; Bivalvia; Venerida; Veneridae.
ACUGUUCGUCUUUGACAAACGACACCAGAAGACGAAGAAAGCGUGAUGCUGAUGACGAUGAGACUAUAGAUGAUGACGUAGAUAUUCCAAACAUCAUCCGGGGAUAUAAAGUUAUAGCGUUAGCAGACGGAGAAGAAAUAACAACUGUAAGAGAAGAAGAAACCGAGACAGACCUAUGUGUUCCAUUAUAUCUGAUGAUAGCUAUUGCCGGCGUCUCCCUGACUAUCAUAGGGGGCGGAGUCACAGUGUUCACGUCUGGUUUCCGGAAUGUUCUUGAUCAUAACAAAACUAUCGCAAAGUUAAGAAAAACAAAUGACACAAAAUUAAGUGAAGGUUCAAGCCAAAAUGAUGUUGGUGGUGUUGCUGUAUUAAGUAAAGGAAACAUUCAUCUGUCAGCAGCACCUAGUCCUUACAGAAGAAAAUCUUUAACAAAUUUAUAAGGUUAAGUAAGUAAUUUACGGUAAAUAGAUAGAAAACACGUUUAUGUUAUGAGGUAAUUUGAACUGAGCACAGAAUAUUGAUAAUAUGAAUCUAAAGAGUCUUGAUCAUUAAUGUGUGAACUAUUGUUUCUACGAAGUGUCAUAAAUAUAGCAAUAAACAUAUCUAAUCUUUUAAACUUAAAAUUAACAAAAUUGUGUUCGAAGGCAGCAUUAAUAGCGUAAACUUUAGUUUUAAUACAAACUUUGUUUAUUGUACUAGUAGCAAAUGAAUACAUGUAUGAAAUAUAAUACCAAAAUAUUUGUUUACUUAUGGAAUUAAAGCUUAGAAACAUCAGAUGGCAACAUACAUAUAAUGUUUAAAUUGAUAACACAAUGCGAAAAUAAAGGGUAAACCCGACCCGGCGCUUUUCAAUAAAAAUUGAGAAGAUCACAAUGAAUCUGCUUAAUUCUAAGUUAUGUUUAUUUUGCUAUUUUAUGAGAAGCCAGUUCAAGCAUGUAAAUGUUACUUAAGGACAAAGUGGCAAUAUAAGAACAAUUUAUUAUCAUCAUUUAUCAAAAUUUUUAUUUUCUUAGAUAUCGUGAAUGUAAUUAAACAUAAUCAAAGAUCAAAAUGUUUCUAUUUUCAAUAUUUUAUCCAUUCGUGCAGAAUGUUAUUUUAUACCAAGCGUUUCCAGUGUUGUUUCUCUUUUUAGAUAAACUUUAUUGUACCCCAAUUUUUCAAAUAGAAAAAAUGGGGUAUGUUCGUCUUCCUGUUUGUCUGUCCGUAUGUAUAUCUGUCUGCCCUUCCGUCAGUCUGUCACACUUUUUAUCCGGUCCAACAAGGGUUUGGCACAAAAGUUAAUCAUAAUAAGACAACGUAUGUUGCGAUACAACCAGAUCUAAAGUUAACAUUGCCUGAUGAUAGAAUUUCUAUUUCGUAUCCGGUUCAUAACUUUUACAUCCAUCAAGUGAUAUUGAAAAAAAAUAUCACAAAUGUGCACAAUAAUCGGACAAACUGCCAUACCAAACAACCAGGUAAACGUCACACUUGGAAGUCAUAGGUCAACAAUCUCUGAUGCAAGGUAUUGUGUCCGUUAGCUCAAAUAUUCACUAUGUUAAGCUUAAGCAGGGAGUUGUUGACGUAGAGUCCUAACCAUGGACUUCAGUUACAAUCGACUGUAUAACUAGUUAUCAAGUUUUCACGAAUUGAUUUGGAUGUGAAUUUUUAGUUGGUAUUUAGAUGUUUCUUACCAACGUUUAUCGUUAUACCAGAAAGUGCAAUAUUUAGAGACUAAUAUCUACAAAGUAUAAUUUAAACAUAAUUGGCAAGAGUUUUUACUAGCCCUUUUUACAAUUUAACUGUUUUUUUUUUAAAUUCCAUACAGACGGUUAGAUUUUAAUUAAUUGUUCAGUUCUGGCACUAAAACAAGAUAAAUCGAAUAAUGAUUGACAGACACAGUAAAAUAAGAAUAUUUGAAGCAUUAACAAUAGAAUAAUUAGCUCAUUCACUUGGACACCGUAAACACAUAUCACUUUACAUAGUACGACAUUUUACGUACUUAGAUCCCACAUACAUAUAUUUUAAAGGUAUAAAAAAGAACAAAACGUCUAUUAUUUAAACUGAUUUGUUUAUUUUUUCGCAGUUUUAAUUAUUUCAUGUGUUUUUUCUUUGUUUUAAUAAAAAGGCGGGUUUUUAAUGAAGACACAAUCAAGAAACAAUGAUUUAUCCAAAAAUAGGUCUACUUCAUAAAAAGACGUUUUCAAUAUGUAUUUGAAAAUGUCUUUAGAAAAGUUGAAUCUAUUAUUUGAAUAAUAGGCAAUAAGAACUUCAGACUGUUUGAAGCUUGUCGCAGAUUAAAAUACAAUAUAUAU